RNAcentral lists this ribosomal RNA (520 nucleotides) under uncultured bacterium. Its description in RNAcentral is "partial 16S ribosomal RNA". It matches the Rfam family "Bacterial small subunit ribosomal RNA", at positions 28 to 507 of the family's 1533-position model. The record is from RNAcentral.
GACGAACGCUGGCGGCGUGCCUAAUACAUGCCAGUCGAACGCACUCUCGUUUAGAUUGACGGAGUUUGCUCCUGAUUGAUAAACAUUUGAGUGAGUGGCGGACGGGUGAGUAACACGUGGGUAACCUGCCCUAAAGUGGGGGAUAACAUUUGGAAACAGAUGCUAAUACCGCAUAAAACCUAACACCGCAUGGUGUAGGGUUGAAAGAUGGUUUCGGCUAUCACUUUAGGAUGGACCCGCGGUGCAUUAGUUAGUUGGUGAGGUAAAGGCUCACCAAGACCGUGAUGCAUAGCCGACCUGAGAGGGUAAUCGGCCACACUGGGACUGAGACACGGCCCAGACUCCUACGGGAGACAGCAGUAGGGAAUCUUCCACAAUGGACGAAAGUCUGAUGGAGCAACGCCGCGUGAGUGAAGAAGGUUUUCGGAUCGUAAAACUCUGUUGUUGGAGAAGAAUGUAUCUGAUAGUAACUGAUCAGGUAGUGACGGUAUCCAACCAGAAAGCCACGGCUAACUACGUG